GCUGCAUAGCAUCUGCGUGGGUGUGGGAUAGGGUUGGAUCCAUUCUGCAAAGAUCACAGAUCAACCUCUGACCCCAGCGCCACCCCACACGUACAGUAACACGGAAGUAAACGUCCCCUCUGGUUCCCCUUUCUCAAAUCUGCUUCUAGCCAAGCCCGGCAGGGUCAAGGCUUCCUCUACGCCUGGGCCACAAGCGUUUGUUCUUUUUUAUCGUCCUCACGCAGGCACCGAGGGGCCUUUAGCCGCAGUGGGUUCCUGAGACUGCAGUUUUCAUUGUGAUAACCUGACCUCCAGAGGCCUUGCCCUUCAGUCUGUUUAAUGAAGCGCUGAGCCAGAAAGGGUCUUUGUUCUCUCAUCGCGCUCUCCACACCGUUUCACAACGCACCCGAUAAAGAGCUUCUGUGGGAUUUGUCUAAAACAAGUGCAUUUUGAGGAGUUGCAGGACGCUUGAGAGAACAAUGUCAUCAAAGAUGUGGGGAACAUGUUUCGAUUGUCGAGUUAGAAAGCGCAAGGUGUGGUGAGAUGUGAGGGUGCAACCUUCGCAGUAUGCAAAAUGUGGGAUUUAAAUAUUCUCAUAAAAAGAAAGCCACCCCAAUAGAUUGAGUGGAGGUACUUCACUUUUGAAUUAAGAAACACAAUGAGUCUGAGGAUGCGGUUAGGGCUCCUGCUCAGGGAUGGGAGAUGAAUGCGAACCCCAGAGAUUGUGUGAUGAGAACUCCUGGAUCCUGCAAAGCUCUCUGGAAAGCCUGCGAACCAUGUGAGAAGCAAUUCCCUAAGAGGAUCACAGGAUGCCUGCCCGUUGGCAAGAUAGUGUGAGUUGUUUCUUAGUGCUGUUCAGUGAAAGAACAAGUUCCCAACCAACACGCCCAGAGUCUGUCCUCUGGAAACCUGCAAGCACCCAGAAGAAACAUUUAAAGGAAGAGCUAGCUCAAUCAAGCAUGAGGUCCGUGGAGAUCGUGUAUCUGAGAGACUACAGAAGGAGACCGGGCCGCUGCCUACUGGUGAGAACACUAAUUCACUGAGGUUGCUUGUCUCAUGACCUCCCAGGCAGAUGGAGUUCUAUGUCUGUAAGAACUCCACCGCUCCACUAUCGCUGCCGUCCGCCCCUUAUUGAGUUGUCGCAUGCUGCACUCUGGGUGUCAAAGUUCAGCAUGGAGGCGCUUCAGCCCUUCAAUUUCAGGUCUUUCGCUUUAGAGUGAACAGCUUGAAUGACGCAGGAAAGGUCAAAGCCCCUUUGCAGGCAGUGUACGUGGCUAGCCCGCAGGGAGCCACCACAGAGGCCAGCCGCGGCUUCAGAGCUUUUCCUUGUGUGGACUCAGUGACUGUUGUCAGAUGUACCAACCAUUUGUAAACUGCCCAGUCAGUCAUUUACAGGCUCGACUCUAGUUCUAACGCCCUCAUCCCGGGCCUCUGAGCAGAGUCACCUUCAUCGGGUGCGUCUCCAUCCCACCGUGGCAACCCUAGUAGGUGUAGACAGUGUAAAUGGUGGCUUCUCUCAGUCACACGAUUCCACCGUGAUGCCGCUGAAAUACCGACGGCAGGGACAGACUUCCCAUAGCUGAAUCUCAGUCGUCUUCAAAAGGGAAAAAAGCAGUCAUAUCUUCCAGAGGAUGUGGCAACCAACAGUGCUCCUUCCAGAAGCUCCCUGAAGGAUGGAUUCCCAAGAGCAGAACUCUUCAUUCUGCACAGCCUCCGUGAAGAAGGUGCAGAGGAGACUAGCUGAUCCUUGCCGUGAGAGGGAAUUUAGGAAAGAGACAGACCAUCCCUACAGUGUGUGUAGAAAUUCCAGUGGGUAAGUACAUUCAGCUUCAUUUCUCAUCCUGGUUCCAAAAGUACACAACACAGGUGCCUGGGUGUUGGUGAUCAUGACCACAUGACACAGAGAGGACAGUGCAUGGCACUAGCCUUCACCUCCCUGGAAGGAAUUUGGAGAGAGACGCAUGAGAAAAGGUGAGGUCUCCAGCUUUCCUGCCUGGAAGCUUGGUAUUUAUCAGCCUACAGUGUUGAAGGAGCUAGAUCAAAAGGAGACCAAGGAACAACUCGGUAUUCCAAGCUCUUUUAAGGGUGAAGAAAGCUUUCCUAAGAUCCAAAUGAUUAUAAUUUCCAUAUGCAAUCCACCUCUACGAGCCUUAGGAACAGGAAUCAAAGCAAAAAUUUUAGGAGCAUAAAUAAUUAAUUUUCCCAAAUUACAAACUUAGCAAAUCUCCAAGUCCUCAAAUUGAGCUAUUUAAAUGUGGUAAGUAUAUUAUUUCUCUCAUCUGAAGGCUGAGGCAUUGUGUAUAUUACCAUUCCCAGCACCUCUAUCUGCUGAGCCAUCUCUCUGGACUCAGCCUGUUACUUGUAAGGCAGCGUCCUCCUCACCCUGAGGUUUAUGUUUGUUUCCACGAGUCUGGAAGCCACGGAGCCACAGCAACCCUCCUGCAUGUCCAUCUUCUCAGGUGUGUCCUGGCAUCCCCUCAAGUCAGCUAGCGCCACAAGGACUGUUAGUCACUGAGUCAUCUCCCCAAUCCAUGAGCUCAUAGGAUCUCUUCCUAUACAUGAAUAUUUUGGUUGUAUCUUUGGGUAAUUCAUAGUAGUUCACCUGCAUAUCUCUAUCCCCUGCUUUUCUCAGUUUUGACUGACAUGUUCUUUUCUCUAGGAUGUCAUCUGGACUUAAAUGAUUCUCACUUGAGUUAACGGUUGGUUUCUGAAGAGUUUGACUUACCUGUAAUCUUCAGGGCUGUGAUGUCACGGGCCCCAUACAAUGAACUUAAGCAUGGUGGAUGACCUUCUCAGGGAACUCCAGCUCUCUGUGGAGUAUAACUAUCAACCACCAGACGAUUGAUUCUUUGAUCAAAGAGGGGAAGCCCAAGGCACUGUCCUGCCCAUGGUCUCCCAGAUGCUAAAUGUGAAAUCUCUCUCCUCUGUUUCUCACAGCAGUAACUAAUUUGAUUAAAUUAUAUGCAUUAAAAAUCACCAAGAAUCCUCUCCUGAUCACUACACAGUAAGCAAGCCUGGUCAUUUUAAUGAAUUUUAAUACGUGUGAAUGACUGGAUUUCCCCCUUUGUAUCCAGGGAGGGGCAUAGUGCAAAUGUUGAGAAGUUGGGACCAGACAUUGACAGCCUCGGGGCCUCGUCACACCGAACUCUAAAUCAAGGGCUCUCAAUCGUUUUCCUAAUUAGAACAUUAUUGGCUUUCUUUUUCACAACGGUAUGGUUUGAAAAGCUCUCUCCCAAAGCAUUGCAUGCCUAGUACAGAGACCCCACCCUUACCAGGGCUGCUCAGGGCUCUCAUCAACCCGCUUCUACCACAGGCUUUUAGAUUGGGGAGGGGAGGCUGGGAUUAGCAGAAGGAGACGGAGAACAAGGUAAGGAGAUCUCCCUAAUUCCACCCAUUCUGGACUAUUUCAUAGCUGUUGCUAUUGGGUAAUGUUUCGAGGUUAUUCUUUUCUCAAUGUAUAGUUAAAUUAACUUAAUUUCUCACAUGUGUUCCUGAACUGUCAGAGGCUCAAAUGAACAAAGACCAAACAGACAUUCCAGGUGCAACGCACAGGUCCACACAGGGGUUUUCACGGGAAAACAAUGCCUACAGACCCGUCGGGCAAGUCUGAAAACCAUCAUCAUACGCAAGAUCUGCUCCAGUGGAAAGCAAAUUUUCACAACCUUGUAAAUGGCCCCAAGCGCCAGUGUGGCGAUCAACAUCAACUCAAAAAGCAACACAGAGCAAAAAACCGACUGAAGGAGUAUGAUUCUAUUAAUAGCACCAAUUAGAGAGUUUUACAUGAGAUAGGACAGGAUACUGAGUUAUUUGUUAAUUAAAUAUAUCAAUCUUUUGGUUUGAAAACUACUAAGAAUAGUGUAGAAUAACCCCUUCCAGUUCGCUGACUUUCUGAAAGUCAUUGGGGGUGGUGAUAAUUUUGGACAAAUAAAACCUUCAUUGAUCCUAAAAAAUUGGACAUUAUUCUUCCCUAAAACUUAUUCACCCACUGCAGCUAAAUUAUGUGAUUUAAUCUCUUCUUUUUACCAGGAUCACAUCUGCCUUCUCUAUAUCUGAUGGCAUAGUUUUAAAUUUGACACUUAAAUCUUUCCGUAACUCAAAGAUGCAGGCGAUGAGUAGAUGCCUCCGUGGCUGAGAGCACUGGCUGCUCUUCCAGAGAACCUGGGCCGAGUCCCACCACCCACAUCGCA
This is a long non-coding RNA of Mus musculus (house mouse), 4166 nucleotides long. RefSeq annotates it as predicted gene, 31726. NCBI's taxonomy places the organism in Eukaryota, Metazoa, Chordata, Mammalia, Rodentia, Muridae. The transcript is spliced from 4 exons. The record is from RefSeq and is a predicted model, not a curated record.